RNAcentral lists this long non-coding RNA (352 nucleotides) under Panax ginseng (ginseng). RNAcentral describes it as "long non-coding RNA (PGIN_LNC001981)". Lineage: Eukaryota; Viridiplantae; Streptophyta; Magnoliopsida; Apiales; Araliaceae. The record is from RNAcentral.
ACCGCUCCUAAAUUCAAGCAACUGAGAUCCAAAAUUCAAGCAACUGAGAUUCAAGCAACUGAAAUCCAAAUCUUCUGUCGCGACACACAUCUGAGAUCGGAGAAGACGAAACUUUUUGUCGCGACGGCACGCUGAGAUCGCAAAAUAGCAUACAAAAUCAACAGCAACUUCAAGUUCAGUAACGAAACACAAUCGAACGGCAGUGAUUGUUGAAUACAAAAUCACAGCAACUUCGAUACAAAUCUGAAUACUGAGGUAUGUGAGAUUAAAAUUCAUAUACAUAUAGUUACCUAUGGUUACUACGAAUUCCUAUAUUGAUUACCUUUCUUAAGUUUUUCACACUUAAAAUGGU